Molecule: long non-coding RNA, 1871 nt
Filed under: Pongo abelii (Sumatran orangutan)
Lineage: Eukaryota; Metazoa; Chordata; Mammalia; Primates; Hominidae
Description: lincRNA
Source: RNAcentral
AUAGCAAGAGGUAAGAAAGGAACAGUCUGAGGUUUGAGUCUGACCCAGGACCUCUUUGUGGUCAAAAAGUGAGGGGGCAGGAAACAGGAUGGAAGGCUCGAGAGUGGCAAAAGCUUUUCAGCCCAGCCAAGAGUGCUCCAGGCAAGCGCUGGGGCACCUCUCUGGGAGAGGACCUUCACCAAGGUCAGAGAUGAACAGCAGUGUUGGGGACCUGGGUGUUGGCGGCUGCAACCUCUGGGAUGACCCUGCUCGCUUCAUCGUGGUGCCCGCGGCCUAUGCCUUGGCACUGGGCCUGGGGCUGCCAGCCAACGUGGCGGCCCUGGCAAUGUUCAUCCGCAGCGGCGGGCGCCUGGGCCAGGCCCUGCUUCUCUACCUGUUCAACCUGGCUCUGGUUGAUGAGCUCUUCACGCUCACGCUGCAGCUGUGGCUCACCUACUACCUGGGCCUGGCCCGGAGGCCGCCUGCCACGCGGCCGGGGCUACCUACUACGUGUCCACCUAUGCGGCGGUGGUCUUCGCCGCGCUUAUCAGCGUGUGCCGCUGCGGCUUCGUACGCGGCCCCGGGCCCAGGGCGGCUGCCCGCCUGGCCCUCUGCCGCCGGCGCCCCGCACGCGCUGCCUGCGCGUUCGCCUGGCUGGCGGGCCUGGCCCCUCCCUGCCUGGAGCACCGCUGGGCAAGCUCGGGGCUGGCCUCCGCCACGGUGGCCUUCUUCGCGGCCGCCUUCCUGCUGGUGCUCGCGGCCUACGUGAGCCUGGCGCGGGCCCUCAAGGCACCCUCAGGCUCGGGCCCGGGCCCUGCUACCGCCGGCGCGCGGCCAAGACCAUGGUCCUGGGGUUCCUGCUGGUCUUCGCCCUCAGUCUGGCGCCCUACCACCUGCUGCUGGCGCCCUGGGUGGCCGGGCGGGACGACAAGGGAGACCGGUGUCGCGCCGCCUCCACGCUCGACAUCCUGCAUACCCUCAGCCUGGCGCUGCUGAGCCUCAACAGCUGCCUGGACCCACUCAUCUGCUGCUGCUUCGUGCGCCGCUUCCACCAGGACUGUUGCUGGGCACUGAGCUGCCGCCCGGUGAAGGGGGCGCCCAGGGCGCAUGGGGCCUCCUUGGCCUCCUCCUGGAGAGUCUCCUGGCCUCCCCUCCUGUCUCACCCCCCUGUCACCCUCCCAGUGGCAUCCAGGGUGGAGAAAGCUCUUUGGAAAGACCUAGAUUCUAAUCCUGACGCAACCACAUGCUACCCCUGUAGCUGUGAACCUCUGGGCUCAUCUGUACCAAGGACAUAGAACAUUCUUUGUAACCGGAAUGUUCCCUGGAUGUUGCCAGCUUUUGGAUACAAAUUAUAUACCACUGUGUUUUUUUAAACCUCUUGGGAUAAAACCCAAAGUCCUUAUCAUGACCUACAAGGCCCUGUCUGAUUUGGCUCCCCUUUCUCUCCAGACCUUAUCCCACCACCCCUGCGUCACCCUGCAGGCAGUCACCUUCUUAGGCCCGGGAAAAUGCCAAUCUCCUACCCUUCACGGCCUUUGUAUCUGACUUGGCCAGGAAUGAUCUCUGUUCCUCUCUUUCACUAAGUUAGUUCUUCUUCACCCUCACUUCCUCUAAAGUAACUCCUUAUAGGGAAGCAUUUCUUGGCUGGCAGCACACACACACACAUACACACACGACUGAAUCAGAUCGGAUUGCUCUUUGAUAGCUCUUUUCAUAAUUGUAAUCAAGAAUUAAUUGAGUAAUGCGUUGUUGUUGUUUUCUUUCUCUCUUGCCAGAAUGUAUUCAUGUUGACCCAUAAGAAAUGAUCAUUUUUAUAAGUCCCCAAAAGUUGAAUAUUGGAAAUUUUAUUUCCACCCAAUUCAACUUAAUAAAUUCCGUGUUUACCUUGCUCA